AUGACAGAGAAAAAAAGGAUGUCAACUGCUUCUGCAUACACCACAAGAUCACCAAGGUCUGGAAGAAACACACAACUUUCUCUGCAGCAAGGAAUGGAAAGAAACCAGAAAUGGAAUACAAGAGAAGGGUACAAGAAACAGGAAACUGAACAUACAUCCCUUGUUAAAUGCAAACGCAGAAUGACUCCAGAGAUAACUAGAAAUGCCAAGGAUGCAAAGUAAUGUCUUUUUUCCUCUUGAAAUGCACUCUUUAUAAUCUUUAGAAGCCUUAAAUUGGUCAGAAAAAGAAUGAACCUGGUAGAGUAAGACAAAGGGUACAUGGUCAGCAAGCUCAGAGCCUUCGAGAACAUCAUAAGGAAGUCUCUGAUGAUCCUAGAGGAUGGUAAUAAAGACACAAAUUGUAUUUGCUUAACCUCCCAUUUUCUGCCUUGCAACUGUGACUUUGCUUUUUAAAUGACAGUACAUUUUAAUUAAUGCAUUAUAAUCAGUGUACAAGAAAUUUGGGCUUUCUCUGAUAUUCACACUUAGUCAAACACUUUACAUUGUGCCUCUUCAAAGCCAAAGCCUCACUUCCUGGUGGUAAAAUUCUGAUUGUAAGCAGAGUAUCUAAGUCAAAAGAUAAAUUGCCUACAAAACUCAACACACUGAGAUAUGUCACUUCUGGGUAGAGAUGAUGAAUUGAAUACCGGCAUUUACUUAAAAUACUUUCAUUAUUCACUAAUACCUACCAUAGUAUCCACAAUGAGAACUUUUUUUUGGUAAGUCUUAAGCCCCAAAUGGUCCCUGGAAUUAUGUGGCUGUCAAAUAGAAAACUUUGGGAAACCAGGAAACCAAGUAGCUUCUUCAAAAGACUCAUGGUGGGAAUAUUGCUAUUGGCACUAUGGAGCAUGUUACCUAUUCUGAUUACAUUAGAGAAGUGGUAGAAUACAAAUACAUACCUCCAGUACAGUUAUGAGCAGAUAAGAAAGGGAAUUCUGUGAUUACCAUAAAAUAAUAUGUUUAUUUUAUGAAUCAAUUUGAUUUCUCAUCCUUGUCAAUUUCUUAUGCGAGUGUUAGGUCAUUAAUAGAAAAUGAAUGAUUCCCUGAGAAUUGGAAUGAAAAAAUUUGGGUGGAUUCAGAUGAAUCUGAGUAUCUGAACCUCCCCAUAAAUUUCUUUAAGACUUCCUCACUAGCAAAUACUUCUCCUCAAUCCCUCUCUGAGGAAGCUAGCUUCUCCUAGCUUGAGUAUACUGUAAUAACCUUACAUUACAAGCGAUGCUUAUUUGCAAAAGAUCCACCCAUUCUCCAGACCCAUAGUACCAUCUGGUCCAACCUAAUCAAGGGAAAUGAGUACUAAGUCUGACAUGAGAGGGGUCAGUUUAUACUCUGAAAUAAUUGCAAAAUGUAGUUAGCUUAUACCAGCAGAAAUUAAGAUAUAUGAGCAGAAAUGGAAUAUAAGUAUAUUUGUCCAUUGUGGAAGGAAAAUAACUUUGGAAUGGCCAAAUGUAUCAAUAUGGGUGUACUCAUGAGAGAUUCUGAAUUCCAUAUGUUAGCUUGAGCAAAUGGGAAAUGUUGCAUAAUUUGCUCACGAAAGCUGGACUCCAUAUUAGUCUACAUCAAAGGAAGCUGAGAUGUCAGCUUUUACUUGUUAUAAUGUAGAAGGAUAAAUCUGAAGGCUUAGGGGAACAGGAAUGUUGGAGUAGAUUUAUAAUGUGUGAGUGACUCACCCAUCUCCUCAUUGUGUGUCCUAGGAGAGCUCAGAGGACAUUCUUUUCAAAGAAGCAUGAAGGAGUAUUUUGGUGAGGGAAGCAUCAUCACCUUGGAGACACCCUCUGCAGGAUGGAAUGAUAGUGGGUUCUCUUGGGGAAAUACCCUGCUAUGCUGUCAUGAAUGUGUACUCUUAAUCCUCCUUCUUUCCUUUCUCAAAGGGAGCUGGAGUCAUCAGGUAGAGAAACUGUGCCUUUCAGAAAAGGAGGUAGGCUAUUUGUGAUGACGGAAUCCUGAUUCUGAGCCGACACAAAUCUUGAGGGAGUCAAGUUGCCUUGAAAUCCAGCAGUCACAGUGGGGACGUAGCAGAGCUGGGUAAUAAAUAGAUUUCUGGCCUGACUCUGUUGCCUGGUGUAUCCAGUGGGUCCACACAUGUAUCUGGAUUUCAUUUCCCAUUUUUGCAUAUGCCAUUAGGAGAGACAGACUUGGCAAGUGGCAGAAUGACCUCAUUAGUUAAUAAACCAAUAUCCUUUCGUAAAACUGCCUGGAAAUGUUCGCAAUCUGUGUUCAACUGAGUUCACCAUAACCUUUCUUCUCUUCAAAAGGAAACCAUACCUUUCACCCAUUCCAAAUGUGAUUAGAGCAUACUUAACUGGAUUAUAAAAUUGUGAGCACCCAAAAAGUUAUAUCUGUGGACAUCGUUUAGGUGGGGGAAAAGCUUCAGUAUCCUCUAGGUCUUUUUGUCUUCCUCCGUCUUGCAAAUAUUUCUAAUGGGAGUGAACGUAAGCACAUGUUAAAUAUUCUGAAUUUGGAACAACUAAAGCAGUAGAGUGACACUGAUUUUUCUAAAUAUAAUUAAAAGGCUCUCAUGGGCUAUAGGGUUUUUUCCCCCCCAGUUUCUCUUCAUAUUGCAGAAAAACAAUAAACAAAGUUUAAUGUAAUUUCUUUCAAAUAGAGUGUGCAUGAUUCAAUAAACACUAAGACCUAGUUAACACAUUGUGUCACAAAAUAUUCCAAUUAUGAAUCCAUCCUUAUAUACUAUCUCUUAAGAAAAAAAUAACUUGUAAUGCUAUAUUUGAAAAAAUUUAAAGAUGUGUGAAAACAUAUAUAGUUUUCUAGAAUUCCAGGACUGAGUAAGCAAGCGGAACUUUUGCUACUUCAGAUCAUAUCGCAUGGAGUAUCAGUACACGGUAGAUUGAAAUGCACACAGGACAGGAUACCAAAUUCAAAAUUCACUCCCAAAUCUGGUCAUUAUGGAUGCAGUGAUUUCAGUACACUGCCUGCACUGAUAUCAAAG
Molecule: long non-coding RNA, 2983 nt
Organism: Macaca mulatta (Rhesus monkey)
Lineage: Eukaryota; Metazoa; Chordata; Mammalia; Primates; Cercopithecidae
Source: Ensembl